Molecule: non-coding RNA, 21 nt
Filed under: Arabidopsis thaliana (thale cress)
Lineage: Eukaryota; Viridiplantae; Streptophyta; Magnoliopsida; Brassicales; Brassicaceae
Source: RNAcentral
UACACUAUAGAUUGAGAAGUG